RNAcentral lists this long non-coding RNA (28363 nucleotides) under Lactuca sativa (garden lettuce). RNAcentral describes it as "long non-coding RNA (LSAT_LNC002434)". Lineage: Eukaryota; Viridiplantae; Streptophyta; Magnoliopsida; Asterales; Asteraceae. The record is from RNAcentral.
AUAAUGUAACUUUAAACAUAUUUAAUUUGGAUUGAUUCAUUAGAUAGUAAAAUAUCAUAGGCUUAGGUGUGGUAUAACUGAAUUACUUAAAACAAUUAUUGUGUGCAUUACUGCUUGUUGAUCGUACACUUUAUCAUGGAACUUUCAACUAUCAUCCAUUACAUAAAUUCCACAUUUUUUGCAAGUUUUCAAUUAAAAACUAUACAACAUUUACAAUCACUUACAUAUAGGAAAAAUGUUUUAAUUGGACCGACUAAUAUCUUUCGUUAUAUCUAUAAUUGAAACAAAUAGUUUCUUUUUCAGUUAUAUACAAAACAAUGCUUAUAUUCCUCUAAACAUAAAAUAUCACCGUCGGUGGAAGUCUACCGUCGAUAUUAUACCGACAGUGAAAAAAUUGGUACAUCGCGGUGUUUGCCACCGGUAAUGGGUCCGGAUCAACAUACUGCCUGUGUUUUGAGCAUGGUACCUAAAUAAGGGAACUUGAUACCAUAACACAAUCAUGUUUCGUUGUAGUCUUGGAUCGACCAAUUUAAACUGUAUUUUGUUUGCUUCUUAGAUCAUUAAGGUUUCAAUUUCUCUUUCAAAUAUGCCAUUAUAUGAUCUAAUGCGGAAAUAGUUGGUUAAUUACAUGAGGUGACAUUAUAAAUUACACAUAUAUAAUUAUUUAACGGCACAUAAGCAAAUAUAUAUAUAUAUAUAUAUAUAUAUAUAUAUAUAUAUAUANUUCGUACGCCUUUUCAUUAACCACAAAUUGAAAGCUAAAUUCUAGGGUUUUAAAAAUCUUCCCCGAUCGAGUUGAAGAAGCAGCAGUUUGGAAUGACAAGUUUCAUCCCGAACGUGAUGGACUUUAUCCUAUAAUGGUGCUUAAGUGUCAAUGUGCAUUUCUUUAAAAUGUUGUCUCCUAUAAUCAUGGUGUGAAAUACACAUUCAAUGAUCAUGAUUUUGCUGGUAUGACAUAUUAUGAGUGUAUUAUAUGGCUAAAAUGUUUCAUGCAAGAAGAGUGUAAGAAGCUAUAUUACUUUGAACUAGGUAAACUACUUCGGACCAGGAUUUUUUAUGCAUAUGGUACCGAUGGUGAAAUAUCCUUUUAUAUGGGCCAUAUUGAUGAAAGAAUAGAUGAUUGGUUUGGGGAAGAAGAAAAAGAAGAUGAUGAUGACGCCCAUGAUUCAUGUGUUGUUGGUGGUGAAAGAGAAAGACAUUGCUAGCUAUAUGGAGUUGAAUGAGGAAACAAUGAAUAUGAACAAAACGAAAGAUUAUGAGUUUCUUAGUAAAGUAUGUUUUGAAGGGGAUAAAGAAGAUAACAACAACAAUGAUGAGGUUGAGGCUGGAUAUGAACCCAAUACUCAAGUACACUCCAUUUUUAACAAGGCAAUACAUUGAAAAAAGCAGAAGCCUAUAUUUGGUAUCAGAUUCCAUGAUCUAGCUCAAUUAAAAACCAUGUUGUGCAACUAUGUUGUUGCUAAUGAGUAUCAACUUUUGUUUGAAAAGAUGAUAAAAAGGUUGUUGGUUAGGUGUUACAAGGGUGAAUGCACAUUCAGGUUGUGGGAAACUUGGAUGGGUUUGAUGAAACCUUCCAGUCCAAGACUUUGAAAGGAUAUCACAAUUAUGCUAGGAAAUAUAAGUUGGGAUCAUUGGUUACUUAUGCUUGGAUAGGAAGUCACUACACAAAAGAAAUCAUAUAUAGACAAUAGAUGAGUGUAGGAAAAUUAAGUCUACAAGUAAUCAAUAAAUUUGGAAUUCAUGUAAGUCUAAUUCAAUGUAAGAGAGCCAAGAAAUAUACAUUAUAACUAAUAUAGUGAACUCCUUUUGAAAACUAUUAAAAGACUUGGUCAUGUACAUCAAAAAUAAGGAGAUCACAUCCAGGUUCCGCUAUGAAACUUGAAGUUACUACAAUUCUAGAUGGAAAAGACUAUUUUUGUGAGUUCUAUGUUUGUUUUGAUGAAUCGAAAGAGGAGUGGAAUGAGGUUUGUAGAAAGAUAAUAUGACUAAAUGGUUGUUUUCAAAAAGGGAUGUAUAAGGCAGAGUUGUUAUGUGAUGUUGGCAUGGAUGCAAAACAAACACAUUUAUCCCAUUACAUGGAUUGUUGUGUAUAUGGAGAACUAAGGAAAUUGGAAGUGGUUUUGGAUCUACAUAUUGAUAACUUGGGACUAAACUGUAACAUCCCAAUUUUUAACAAUUUUUUUUAGUAUAGAAAACCUCAAGUGUUAUAAAAACCAAGUCAAUAAAAUCACAAGUAUAUCAAAUACAAUCAUACCAAAUAAGAUUAUCAAAAAUGCGGAAUCAUAAAAACAAUCAACAAGUAGGAGUGUACAGUCAAGUCUGCUCCUUCCCGCGAUCACCAGAAGUAACUGAAACACAUUUAAUCUACAAUUUUAAGCACAAAGAUUAGUGAGUACUUCCUAAAAUAUCCAUACAGUACAACAUAAUAAACUAAUAUGGGUUAUUAGCAACCCUCAGGAUUAUCAGCAAUCCCAAUUGGCUAGCAGUGCGCCCUAUGGAUUAACAACACGUUUCAAGGGUUAUCAACAAUUGUGGGGAUUUUCAUCAAUUCCGAAGUUAUCAGUAAUUUAGUUUAAUUUACAUAUAACAACAAUUAUCAGUUAAUAAUCAGCUCAUCACAGAAAAAAAAUUCCACACAGGUAAAUGCAGUGAGAAGACUCACCUUGCAGGUAGCAGCUAAAACACAACAACUCUCACACGGUGAAGACUGAUACUACAAAACACCUAAACAACAAUAAAUAAGUACCCACUCAGUCUACACCCUAAAACCUCUAAAUUAACCAAACGUUAACCAUGGUCAAAAGUCAACGGUCAAAGUCAACAGUCAAAGGAAACAAUCAACUAUUCCAUUGAUUGAUCCUCACGUCGUGACCAGACCUUGGUCAUGUCGUGAGAAAGCAAGUCCAUCCAGGUCACUAACUCAGUUCCGAUUCAACUCAAUCAUCCUCAAAUCAACACUCACAUCGUGACAAAGCUUUUAUCAUGUCGUUAGAACAUCAAAACAAAAAAGUCCGGGCACCUAGUCUACCCUUACGGCGUGAAGGCCAACCCUUAACGUCGUGAGAACUAUUCUAGCCUCCUAAUUGCAUUAAUUCCUUAUUCGAUUUAGCCAUUCAUUCAUACAUUCCCAAUGGCUUUCCUACUCCAAAUACAAAAUUUAAAAUCGAUGCUUUAUGGACAUGAAUGUCCCUGUGGAUAAACAGUAUGUUACAGAGAUUAUCAACAACCCUAUGGACUUUUAGCCAUCUUGAAGUUAUCAUCAAUUUAACUCAAUUUACAUAUAACAACAAUCGGCAGUUAAGUCCCAACUUGUCACAAAAAAAUACCACACAUGUGAAUGUAGUGAGAAGACCCACCUCAUAGGUAGCAGCUAAAACACAACAACUCUCACGCAGUGAAGAUUGGUACUACAAAAACCUAAAAAUCAAUAAAGAAGUAACCACUCGCUCUAUACCCUAAAACCUCUAAAUUGACCAAAAGUCAACCAUUGUCAAAAGUCAAUGAUCAAAGUCAACAAUUAACUCUUCCAUUGACUAACCCUCACGUCGGGACCAGAUCUUCAUCACGUCAUGAGAAAGCGUGUCCAUCCUGGUCAUUAACUCAGUUCUGAUUCAACUUGAUCAUCGUCAAAUCAACAGUCAUGUCAUAACAGAGCUUCUGUCACAUCGUGAGAACCUCAAAACAAAAUAGUCGAGACACCCAGUCUACCCUUACGUUGUGAAGGACAACCCUUCAAGUCAUGAAAGCUAUUCUGCCCUCCUAAUUGCAUUAAGUCCUUAAUUGAUCCAGUCAUUCAUUCAUACUUUACUAGUGGAUUUCCUACUCCAAAUGCAACAUAAAAAUCGGUGCUUUAUGGAUAUGCAUCUCCCUUUCACUCAAGGUCAUGAACAUGGAAGAAAUGGACCCAAACUUGUACUAGAGAUCCAAAAUCACCAAAAGGACAUAGAUUUGAAACAUACAACUUAAAGGGACCCUAAGGAUCCAUAAAGUUGCCAACUUUAUGGAACCUUGUCAGUCAAAACUUCAUAAACAUAGAGAAAAGGGACAAAUUAAGGAGCUUAGAUCUAGAAGUAUUAACCAUAAAGCUUGAAUCUUGAUGACUUACAAAGGGCCAGAAGGUGAGCAAGGUUGAGUAAAGGAGACUGACUUGAAAGAUCUUGGAACUAAAGGCUUUUUCUUCUUCUUCUAACACUAAAAAUGGCACCUACACUCAAAGAUCAAAAGGAGGCUACAGUUUAUAAGGGAGGUCAAAGGGAGAUGAUGGAGGCUGAGGGUAUGCAAACCCUAGCCCUCACUUCCGUUAAAUAGGUCUUAACUCCCCGAAAUGUAGGGUUUUACAUGUAGGAGAUGCCAUGUCAUGACCUCCAUUAAAGAUGUGAAUUUCUUUUGGCCGCCAUCACGUCGUGACACAACCUUGGUCACGUCGUGAGAAGUCAAAAUCCAAUUGGGGCUUCAAAAAUUUUAAAAUAAAAAUUAAGGUAUAAAUGUUGAAUUAGUGUCUAAGUCCAUAACUAUAAUUGGUAUUUACUUGACCCGAUUUAGCAUGGUCCAUUUGGGUUGCAUAACAUCAGAACAAUUGGAUAGACAAACGAGAAAAGGAUACUUAUGAUUUGUUAAUAUAUUAUAAGUUCUAAUAUAUUAAUAUGAAAUCAUAUUAUUUAAUUAGUAUUGAUCAAAAAUUAAUUUGGAAUUAAUUUUGUGAUCAAAAGAGACUAAUUAAAUAUAUGGGGAUUGAUUAUGUAAAUCAUUCAUUCUUAUAUAGUGGGCUUAUGAUUCAUAGUUCUUCAGGUUGGGCUAAACCCAUGGAGUGAUGCAUGGAUACUCCAUGGAUUUUAAAACCCAUGGAUCAUGAAGAAUAUGAAAAUCAAUGAACAUUAGGGUUUGCAUGCUGUAACCCUACAUGUGGCACACUAUAUAAAGACCCUAUAGGCUAGCAAAAUCGACACUAAGACUUAUCUAGAGGGCUAGCCGAAUUUUGGAGCACAAGUAUCUUCUUCUCAAGUUAUUCUAAUUGUUGUUCGUGUUGUGUGGACCAUUUGAGGUGAAACACUUGGGGCGCUAAGAUCGUAAAGGUUCAAGACUUCAAGCUACACAAAAAGGUAUGUCAUCCAACUAAAAUUUGGUAUUAUAGUUACUCCAUGAUAUACUAGUUAGAAUGAUGCUUUGGAAUAUUGAAUGUAUGCAUGCAUAAUAGAGAAAAUAUAGAUCCAAAGCACAUAGGGUUGCAUGUAAACCGUAGGAGUGUUAGAAUGCUCAAAACCCAAUAGUGGUAUCAAAGCAUGGGGUUGUUUUCAAUUAUACUUGAUGCUACUUAUUGUUUAAGCUUGAAAAAAAUCAAUUUUCUGGGUUCUAGACAGCGAACUCGUUGAGUCCACUGGGUGACUCGCCGAUUCGCAUGAAUUUGCCUUUGACUCUACGAAUCCUCUGAUGGACUCGCCGAGUCCAAGCACAAAAUUGACCAACUCGACGAGUUUGUUCAUGAACUCGACGAGUUGGUGCUCCAGAGUGUAGUUUUUUUGACUUUUAAGGCUUGAAUUGGACUUGGAUCAUUACCCUAAGCUGUUUUUGAACUGAUAAACAUGUUUUUGAUGUGGUAAUGAUCAUACUAAUCCAAUUCAAAAGAUAAUUGUCAAAAGUUUCAUGUUUUGUAUUAGUUUAAUGGUUAGGCUAAUUACAUGAAAAUUGUUUUAUUUGAAUUGUCUUGUUCAUAUGAGUUUAAUCUAGAUCAUGAAUAUUGCUAGAAAUGUUUGUUAGUUUAUUUAGUGGUUUAAAUGGCCUUUAAUGGAUUCCAUAACUUGUCCUCAAGUUAUGGAAAACCAAAAGUUUUUCCUUUAAAAAGUUAUUAAAGUCAUAGGUUAUAAACUUGAAGAGUCUUUUUCCAUAAAUUGUUUUUUGACCUCCAUAAGUUGUCCUCAAGUUAUGGAUUUUCAAGAGUCUCUUCAUUAAAGCUAUAUUAAACUCAUAUGUUAUGGAUUCCAAUUUUUUUGAAUUGUUCAAAACUUGCCCUCAAGUUUAGGAAUUUGUAAAUGUAGAGUCUUCUUUUGACACAUUUAGUUCCAAACCCUAGAAUUUUAAUAGUUUGAAAUUCAACCCUUGUACUAUUAUAAUAUUAUAGGUUUAAUAUUUAUAUAUAUGUAUAAGAGUAAAGUCAGUCUUACCGUUAGUAGGUCUCAUUCACAAAGUCAGUCUCUAAGGGGGGGGGGNAUAAGGGUCCUGCCUAUAAAAUGACAGUUUUAAGGGUGGUCCACUCUCACCCACCGCUUCCUUGAUUGGUGGAGGGUCUUUAGCCGAACAGGUAGGAUAUGACUAUAAUUCUCCUUUCAUUAAAAGUAUAAUGAUAAAUUUAAAGUAACUAAAAUUUAUUGAAUUCCCAAUCUUAGUUACUUUAGAAAAAUGUGAAUUUGGUGCUAACUUGUGAAAUUGCACUUUGCACCCUUGUCAAGUCGUUAGUGGAGCGUGUGUGGUUAACCGACACACUAAUCUGGGACUAACAAUGCGUGGCAAAGGGUAACUUGAUGUUAAUCAUAGAUCAAUGGAGUGUGUGUGGUUAACCGACACACUGAUUGGGUGGUUGUAACAUUGGGUGUACCAAGCUAAUUUGCAUGGUUAUUCACUCCUUGUUUGUGAUCAUCGUCAUCCCAGUGACAAACUUGAAGGGCACAAUCGAGAUUUAAACAUGCCAUUGAAUAGUUCAAUGAAUCUCAAAGGAUCUAGGAGUUUCAAUCCAAUUAAAACUUAAUGAACAAUUUCAUUUUUCAUGGUGGAAAUUGGUAAAUUGUCAUUUACCUACCUUCAAAUAUUUUGUAGCUUAGAUUAUGGCAUCCCUCUUCCAAGUUAUAGAAUAUUGUGUUGGGUCCUAGCCUUAAUAUUUCAUAUUAGGUGCUAUAUUAAGGACUUAAAUCAAUUAACUUGAAUUUCUCCCUUGUAGAUAUCUAGUUCAGAAAACUAUGGUCUACUCAAAUCUCUUGGAACAAGCUUCCCAAUUGAAGAUGAUGUUCCACGAUUGGAUCGUGGAAAUGGAAAUCAUACUUCACUUCCUCCACCUCCUUCAAUUAUUCUCCCUGACCCAUGUGACAACCUAAAUUUUUUAUCUUGUACAGCAAUUCAAUUCAAUCAAAGUCAAACUUGUUUCUGCUAUCUUUUAGCAUUGUUAAGGGUCCGUUGAGUGUUCUAAGCUUAUGCAGCAUUCAGCCGGAAAACUCCAAGUCUUGGAGUUUACGACUGUAAACUAGAGAUUACGGCAGUAAUCUCAUGGCUGGCCGUAAACUCCUCCCAUAUACAUGAUAUUCCUUCAUUUUUCACCACUUCUCACACUUCCAACUCAAGAAACUCGAUUCUCUCUCAACUAUCAUUAAGAACGUUCACCUUGAUCUUCAAAAAUAUAAGCCAUUCUUUCAUUUGAUUAGUUGCUAUCCUUCCUAAUCUAGUAUCACCCUUUGAUUUCAUCCAUGAAAUUCAUCUUUUGGGUAGAUCUUCAAGUAUUCAACACUUUCACCAAGAACACCUACUUGUUCUUGGGCCGUGAACUACUUAGAAUCCUUCAAAAGUGUGAAUAUCUCUUCUAUCUUCUAGUUAGGCUUGAUAAACACAUGAUUCCUAGCCUUAAAACAUCAUAUAUUGCAUGAACAUCAAGAGUUUACGACCGUAAACACUUGCAUGGUUGUAAACCCUUGUUUUGGUGCAUAUAUUGGCCGCAAGCUCAUCUUAAGUCCAAGCCUAGGGCCGUGAACACUUAGUGAAUGCUAGUUAGGGCCCUAAACACCUCAUAAAGUUAUACCCCUUAAUUUACAUUUUAAAUGAUUAUAAAUGCUUUUAUGGGGGAAUAAAAGUUGAAAACAUUAUAGUUAUUAUAUCAAUCACAUGUGAUUAAUGACUAUCAAACAAGUCGAUUUUUUUAUAUACUUCAAAUUGUUUAUCAAACACACUCUUCAAAGAAUUUUAUAAAAUGACAUCAUGUCAUCUGUUACCAUUCAAAUGGUUAAAAUUCCUUUUUAUGUUAAACUCUUUUAAACUUAUAUAUUGUCAAAAUCAUGUCUAUAUGGAAAUAGUUAUAUAAGUAAUGUUGAAAGGACUUAGGACUGAUAACUCACUUUAUUUCAUGUUCCUUGUUUGGUUGUGGACUUAGGGUAUCCGGUUAUUUUUCUAAGUGUCGUUUGAACCUUAGUUAUAUAUUAUGUAUAUGUGUAUGGAUAUAAAAGCUUUUACCUCAGUUCAACACCUUUAGGUAGCAAAGGUGUACAAACAUACUCAGUCAUUCAAACAACAUUACUAGUAAACUAUAAUAGGUAGUUUAGAGGUUUACUACUCACUAUUUCUAGACAAUAAAACAUACAAGAUUCAGUUCAUACAUGAGUCAGUUCAAACAUACUAUAGCAAGAAACAAAAAGAACAUACUAUAAUGAGAAACAGGGAGGAACAUACUAUACACUAUACAAGAGAACAUACUAUACACUAGAACAGAGAGAACAUACAAUAUACUAGAACAUACUAUACAAACACUAGAAUACUAUAACAUUAAUGUGAGCCACUACUUCAUGGCAUGUCAAUCUACUGCUGUGUCACGUUUUGUAACCAGAGUCUCCUGGAGGGAGAUCGUGAAUUUGUGUAUAGAUCUAUACGGGACUGACCGUCCUACACCUUGCUGCUAGCUAUAAUGGGACCUGCAGGUCUACGGGUGACUAAUUUCAUACCAUUUCGACAUCUUUGAUUGUCGUGUUAUACUAGUCAAUCAAGUAUGGUUACAAUCAUAUCACAUUUUACCUUAAUUAACAAUUAGUUUAAGGUAUUUAGUACAAUGGUAGUUACCAGAUACAAUACUACGGUACAUCAUUAUUUUCCCAUUGCAUUCACUUUGUGAUCUUCUCACAUAAUCGGAAAUGUAAACUAUAUUUUGUUAAAGAUAGUCAUAAUUGGGAAAAACACACAGUUUUACAAACAAACUACAUAUAGAACAUUCAGGUCUUGGUAGAAGGCUACAUUUAAAGUAGAAGAUAUAGGAUUUUCUAGGAGAUACAUCAAUUACAUCAAACUCUUACGAACUUUUACAACGAAUAUUUACAACAAACAUUUACAAACACUUUCAUUCAAUCAAUGAUACUAAAAUACUUAUGAACUCACCAGCUUUAAUGCUGAUCAGCUCUUUCAAAAAACUUGGAUUCUCAGGUCACCAGUAGAUAGGUACCAAUGACCAGGUUUUGAGAAGAUGGAGCUUUCAGGACUCGUCUUUAUUUUGAUUAUUCAUUUUUGUUGUCUUAUAACUAUACACAAAACACACUUGUAUUAAAUUAUAUUAUUAAUGCAAUGGAUGAUGUUGUUGCUUGUUUACUAUUAUGCAUUGUUGUGAUACUGUACAUGACGUCCUCCGCCCCAGAACGUUUCCGCCGUUCCAAUUUUGGGGUGUGACAGAUUGGUAUCAGAGGUUUGUUUAUAGUGAAUUGAGUAUAUCAACCCAUAAAAGAUAUACAAACUAUAAACACAUCGGGAUUAAAAUACUCUGACUAAGAGUUUAUAAUUUUAAAUAAUAAAAUAUUUAACCAAAGUAUACGUACCUGCAUUCAUACUAAAAUCAGUGUCACUAGGACAAAACAAAAAUAUUGUGAUUGUUGGGCAGCACAAGUAGGCUUGGGGACAUAUAAUCAGAUAUGAGAAUGAUAUAGCCUGAUCAACUAUAUCUUUUCGAGAAGUGAUUAGCAUGUGCCUAGGAAUGGUUGUGGUGUUGCUGCAAGUCUAAAAACUUACCAACACUACUACAAUGAAAACAUUAUAACGGAACAUAAACUUAAAAUACUAUAAGAGUAUUUUGUGUUACUAUAAUUACUUAUUUGAGUACUAAAGGUCUUUAUUAGUAGGUCAAUAGUUGCUAGGUGGAUAUGCUAAGGUUAUAUGUGACUGAGGUGUCAUAGACUUAGAAUCUGUGAUCGUUGCCUUACUUCAUGUUCCUUGUUUGGUUGUGGAUUUGGAGUUAGGGUCACUUAUUCGAAGGUCUAUCCUGUUUUGAUUACAUGUAACUAGUAUGCACUAUGCAAGUAUUGAAGUAACUGAUAAAGAUCAUCCUAUAAUUAUCUUAAUUAGUACCUCUAUUAAUUAUUUCUUUUACCCUUAUUCUCGUAUAGAUAACAUGGAUGGAUUCAAUCUCCCUGGCGACCCGUACUUUCUCAACCAAGGUAACAGUGGAUGGCUCGAUGAAGAGCCAGAAGAGUAUCAUCCAAUGCCUUUGGAAGAUGGCUUCACAUAGAACUUCCCGGAGGAUUCUGAAUCCGAGCCAGAAGUCAAUGACCUACCCCUGGUAGCUCCAAUCCCAAAUCCUAACCCUCGUCCGGCUUUUCAAGGCCCGACGCCUCUAUGGGCGAAAAACUUGGGUAGAUGGAGUCAAGAACAGGGAGAACCUAUACCAUACGACGGAGACAGAAGCUUCUACAACCUGAGUGAGGGAGGCUCAGCAGACAGAGUCCUGCCUAUCCUGGUCCGCAGGGUUGCUCGUAAUGAAGAGCAGGGUAGGACAGCCAUCAACCGAAUCAUGGAGGUUGAUGCAAAUGCGGGAGUUAAUACAGUCCACAUCAUUUUUCUUGAAGAUGCUCGUGAGAGGUCGAUGAGAGACAACGAGGCUCUGCAGCAAGAACUAGCUGCAACUCGAGCUGAAGUCAUAGAGCUCCGAGCACGCCAAAGGGUAUAUGAACGACACCUCCUUGAUGUGGAGCGUCAGCUGGCAAGUUUGAGGGUUCACCGGAGGGGUACCCGUCGCUAGUAGAAGAUGCUCUAAUCAUCAUUUCAUUUGGUUUAAGGAAUAGCCUUCUUAUCUAUGCUCUAAGUAGCACUUUUCCCUGUAAAUAUUCAUAUCUUUCUAGUACUGUUGCUAGGUCCCUAUGUUGUCAAAAUUUUCUAAUUUUGAUUUGAUGUAAGACCUACUUCUAGGUCAUUUUUCCCAAACUUGUUACAUCAUUAAUUCCAAUAUUAUUGACAGUUAUAUAAUCUUUUGGAAAUCCAUAUCCAAGUGCUUUCAUCAUUCUACUGCUAGAUCUCUAUAUCAAUCAUACUCUCAUUUGUUUUGUUAGACUAUGGAGAGUUAGUCCAUGGAUCACUUUCAUUACACUUGCAAUUGAUUCUUAUUAUCAUCUUCAUCUUUGUAAACUUAUAGUUGAAAGAUGCCUCUAUGCCGAACACUGAGACGUAAUUCUCCAUUAACUCCUACUCAACCAACUCCACCUCCUCCAUGAUAUAAUUCGGCAGCACUCCAAGCUGCAGUGGUUGCAGCUGUUUUGGCAGCCUUAGCCUAAUUCAAUGCUAGUGGUACUAGCGGGAGUGGAACAACAGUUCAUUACACUCAACGUAAUGCUCCAAUGCGCUCUAGGGAGUGCUCGUACAAGGACUUCACCAACUGCAAGCCCAGGUCCUUCAAUAGGACUGGUGGAAUCAUUGCCCUCUCGCAAUGGUUCGAGAAGGCGGAAUCGAUCUUUGAGAUCUGUUCUUGUCCGGAAGGAAGCAAACUUAAAUUUGAUGUCUGGACCUUCGCAAAUAGAGCUUUGACGUGGUGGAAUAGCCAUGUCAAGUCACUAACUCUAAUAGUAGCUAAUGCUAUGGGCUGGGAAGCUCUGAAGGAGCUUAUGAUAGAAGAGUAUUGCCCAAGGGCUGAGGUUCAGAAACUUGCACAGGAACUCUGGAGCUUAACCAUGAAGGGCUCCGACAUAGUGGCCUAUACUGCCAGAUUCAGCAAUUUGGUGGCACUAUGUCUGGGAAUGGUCCCUAUUGAGGGAAAGAAGAUAAAGAGGUAUAUAUGGGGGCUAGUGCCUCCAUUUCAGGGGAAUGUCUUAGCUUCAAACCCCACUACCUUCGACAAUGCCAAACGGCUGGCACAACGGCUCAUAGAUCAUGGAGUCCGCAUCCAGACAACGACAACAACCCUGGUUAUCCCAGAACCCUCCAAGGCCACUGACAACAAGCGGAAGUUGUUGGAUAACAAGAAGAAGAACGCGGCGUAGAACCCUUCCAAGAAGCAACAGGUCAUGGCUGUUCAUGAUGCGAUAACACAUAUUGCUAUUGCGCCAAUGAAGUAGUAUGCUGGGAGCUUGCCCAAGUGCAACAAGUGUAACUUCCAUCACAACGGACCCUAUUGGGAAAUGUAGUGAGCUAACUACAAUAGGAAAGGGCACACAUCCUGUUUCUACAAGGCUUCGGCAAGGCCAAUCACCCAAGUCCCCGACAUUGGUGUGGAUCAUGCUUGCUACGGAUGUGGCAAGGUGGGUCACUACAAGAGGAACUGAUCGAAGGCAGGGAACGCUGGUGGAGUGGGAAGAGUUUUGGCUAUAGGCCAUGAGGAAGCGAUUUCCGACCCCACAGUGGUCACUGGUACGUUUCUCCUCGAUAACUCAUAUGCAUGCAUACUGUUUGAUAGUGGAGCAGAGAGGAGUUUCGUGAAUCAGAAAUUUGCUCACUUACUUAAACAAAAUCCACAUGCACUUAAAGAACUGUUCAUAGUAGAAAUGGCAAACAGAAAGAUAGAGAGCACUAACAGUAUAUACAUAGGAUGUACUCUAACUCUAGAUAGCCAUUCAUUUCCAAUUGACCUCAUGCCGGUCUCAAUUAAAAGUUUCGACGUCAUUAUCGGCAUGGAUUGGUUGAGCCUUCAUCGUGCCGACAUCAUGUAUUAUGAAAAGGUCAUUCGCCUUAAUCUGCCGUUAAGCGAAACCCUAGUUAUCUAUGGCGACAAACCCGACACGAACCUUCGCAUCAUCUCGAGCAUACAAGCCCAGAAAUACGUGCGAAAGGAAUGUCAUGCAUUCCUUGCUCAUGUUGUCGAUAUGAGCCAAGAGUCAAAAGAUAUAAAUAACAUCCCAAAAGUAUGAGACUUUCCCGACAUCUUUCCAGAAGAACUCCUAGAAUUACCUCCACAGCGUCAAGUCGAGAUCAAAAUCGACUUAGUUCCAUGGGCUACCGCAGUAGCCAAAUCGCCCAAUCGUCUAGCACCAGCUGAGAUGUAGGAGCUAUCCGAUCAACUUAAUGAACUGCUCAACAAAGGCUUUAUUAGACCAAGAUUCUCACCCUGGGGAGCUCCGGUCUUGUUUGUGAAGAAGAAAGACGGAUCGUUCCGUAUGUACAUUAACUAUAGAGAACUGAACAAGCUUACUGUCAAGAAUCGUUACCCUCUACCUCGCAUAGACGAUUUGUUCGAUCAACUCCAAGGGGCGAAUUACUUUUCAAAGAUAGAUCUAAGAUCCGGGUAUCACCAGGAGGAUGUUCCCAAGACAGCCUUCCGAACUCGUUAUGGACACUACGAGUUUGUAGUGAUGCCAUUCGGAUUGACUAAUGCGCCCGCAAUAUUCAUGGAGUUAAUGAAUAGGGUAUGCCGUCCUUACAUGGAUCAGUUCGUCAUUGUGUUCAUUGAUGAUAUACUUAUCUACUCUCGUAGUAAGGAAGAGCAUAGUAAGCAUCUACAUCAAAUCUUGGAAACUUUACGAUCAGAGAAGCUCUAUGCAAAGUUCUCAAAGUGCGAGUUUUGGAUUCGAAGAGUCGAAUUCUUGGGUCACGUUGUUAGUGAAGAGGGAAUUCAUGUGGACCCUUCCAAAAUAAAGGCCAUUGAGAACUGGUCAGCACCGAAGACGCCUACAGAAAUUCGUCAAUUUCUAGGCCUCGCUGGCUACUAUCACAGGUUCAUUCAGAACUUCUCUGGGAUCGCGAAACCACUCACUACAUUGACCCAGAAAGGCGUGGCCUUUGACUGGGAAGAGAAACAAGAGAAAGUGUUCCAAAUGCUAAAGUGAGCCUUAUGCAGCGCACUGAUACUAUCCCUCCCAGAAGGGAUAGAAGACUUCGUGGUUUAUUGCGAUGCAUCCAACCAAGGGCUUGGCUUUGUUCUGAUGCAACGAGGUAAGGUCAUCGCAUAUGCCUCAAGACAGCUAAAGACACACGAGGUCAACUACACUACCCAUGAUCUUGAGUUAGGAGCAGUUGUAUUUGCUAUGAAGAUAUGGAGACACUACCUGUAUGGUACAAAAAGCACUAUCUUUACAGACCACAAAAGCCUUCAACAUAUAUUUGACCAGAAGGAGCUCAAUAUGAGACAACAACAGUGGGUCGAGCUACUCAAUGACUACGAAUGCGAAGUUCGUUAUCAUCCCGGUAAAGCCAAUGUAGUAGCUGACGCCCUAAGUCGGAAAGAAUACUCUGGUCGUAGAGUCAAAUGAUUGACUAUGACUAUCCAUUCACACUUAUCUACACAAAUUAAGGAAGCUCAUCUUGAAGCCUUCAAACUUGAAAAUGUGGCGCGUGAAUCCCUUAGAGGGAUGGAUAAAAACUUGGAAGUCAAGGGUGGCGGAGCCUUAUAUCUCAUGGAUUGGAUCUAGACACCACGUCACGGUGGUUUUAGAGACUUGGUCAUGAACGAAGCACACAACACUAGAUAUUCCGUCCACCCAGGUUCAGAUAAGAUGUAUCUGGAUCUUAAAAAGUUAUACUUGUGGCCUAACAUGAAAGUAGAGAUUGCUACCUUCGUGAGCAAGUUCCUUACUUGCGCCAAGGUUAAGGUCGAAUACUAGAAACCAUCAGGUUUACUUUAACAACCGGAGAUACCGGAAUGGAAAUGGGAGCGGAUCACAAUGGACUUCAUAACCAAGUUGCCUAAGACUACGUGUGGUCUCGAUACCAUAUGGGUGAUCAUAGACAGGUUAACCAAGUCCACACACUUGCUGCCUAUCAAAGAAACUGACAAGAUGGAGAAACUAACUAGAACUUACAUUAGGGAGAUUGUCUGACUGCAUGGUGUUCCCAUAUCCAUUAUCUCUGAUAGAGAUAGUAGAUUCACUUCAAGGUUCUGGCAGUCACUGCAAAGUUCCCUAGGAACUAGGCUGGACAUGAAUACAGCCUACCAUCCGCAAACCGAUGGAAAAAGUGAGAGGAUUAUUCAAACUUCAGAAGAUAUGUUGUGAGCCUCUGUGAUUAAAUUUCGAAAGGCAUGGGAUACUCAUUUACCCCUUGUCGAGUUCUCCUACAAUAAUAGUUAUUACACGAGCAUAAAGGCUGCUCCAUUUGAAGCCCUCUAUGGCCGGAAGUACAGAUCCCCUCUAUGCUGGGCUGAGGUGGGUGACACGCAGUUAGCUAAAGGACGCAUUCCUGACAUCACUCUCACAGGUCCUGAAGUCAUUCGGGAAACGACAAAGAAGAUCAUUCAAAUACGUGAAUGAUUAAAAGCCUCUAGAGACCGACAAAAAAACUACGCAGACAAAAGAAGAAAACCUUUGGAAUUCCAGGUUGGUGACCAUGUUCUAUUGAAGGUCUCACCCUGGAAGGGAUUGAUACGCUUCGGAAAUCGUGGAAAGCUAAAUCCAAGAUACUUAGGGCCUUUCGAGAUUAUCGCUAGAAUUGGUCAUGUAGCUUACAAACUCAAAUUACCUCGCAGCUUAGUAACGUACAUUCUACUUUCCAUGUCUCGAACUUGAAAAAGUGUCUGUCCGACGAGACUCUUGUAAUCCCACUCGAUGAGAUCGAUAUCAACGAGAGUCUUAACUUCGUGGAAGAACCAGUAGAGAUCAUGGACCGAGAGGUUAAGCGAACGAAGCAAAGCCGUAUCCCGAUAGUGAAGGUUCGCUGGAAUGCCAAGCGGGGACCUGAAUUCACUUAUGAGCGUAAGAAUCAAAUGAAACUGAAAUAUCCUCAUCUUUUCUCUUAGCUAUUUGUAAUUGGUUAAUCUCUAAUUUUGGGACAAAAUUCUCUCUCACGGGGGGAUGAUGUGACAACCCAAAAUUUCUAUCUUAUACAACCAUUCAAUUCAAUCAAAUUCAGACUUGUUUCUACUAUCUUUUAGCAUUGUUAAGGGUCUAUUUGAAUGUUCUAAGCCUAGUACAUUCAAGUAUUAGGUGUUAGGAAGUAUCUGCUAGAGUUCAUUGUGCAACAUUCAGCCGGAAAACUCCAAGUCUUGGAGUUUAUGACCGUAAACUAGAGAUUACGGUCCUAAUCUCUUGGCUAGCUGUAAACUCCUCCCAUAUACAUGAUAUUCCUUCAAUUUCACCACUUCUCACACUUCCAACUCAAGAAACUCGAUUCUCUCUCAACUAUCAUCAAGAACAUUCACCUUGAUCUUCAAAAAUGUAAGCCAUUCUUCCAUUUGAUUAGUUUUUAUCCUUCCUAAUCUAGUAUCGCCCUUUGAUUUCAUCCAUGAAAUUCAUCUUUUGGGUAGAUCUUCAAGUAUUCAGCACUUUCACCAAGAAUACCAAGAACACCUACUUGUUCUUGGGACAUGAACUACUUAGAAGCCUUCAAAAGUGUGAGUAUCUCUUCUAUCUUCUAGUUAGUCUUGAUAAACACAUGAUUCCUAGCCUUAAAACAUCAUAUAUUACAUGAACAUCAAGAGUUUACGGCCGUAAACCCUUGCAUGGCCGUAAACCCUUGUUUUGGUGCAUAUAUUGGCCACAAACUCAUCUUAAGUCCUAGCCUAGGGCCGUGAACUCUUAGUGAAUGCUAGUUAGGGCCCUAAACACCUCAUAAAGUCAUGCUCUAUGGCCGUAAACUCCCCUUGGUCAUAAACACCAAAGGUGUGGCUAUAAACUCCAAUGUGUGGCCGUAAGCUCCAUUUGAUUCAAUCAUAGUUGAUUAAAACACUUCAAUCCAAGUGUUUCCUAGUCCCUAAAGUGGUUUCCUUUCAUGAUUAGUUGUAUAUAUACUAAUUAUAUACAUAUAUGUAUCAUUAUAUGCUUAAUAGGAUCCGUUUGUGCUCGAGGCUACACUUGACACUUAGCUUCCUAUAUCGAUCUUACAUUCGUAUCACUCACUACACGUGAGUUCAUACCCCUUAAUCUACAUUUUAAAUGAUUAUAAAUGCUUUUAUGGGGGAAUAAAAGUUGAAAACAUUAUAGUUAUUAUAUCAAUCAUAUGUGAUUAAUGACUAUCAAACAAGUGGAUUUUUUAUAUACUUCAAAUUGUUUAUGUGACAACUCGAAAUUUAUUCCGUUGCGGUAUCCCAUUUCCGUUAAAAGAACACUUUAUUUUAUUAUUAUUAUUAAGAUUUCCGUUAACAUUAGGGUUAGACAAAUCAAAUAAUGAUUUAUUUUAUUUUAGUGUCGAAAUGAAAUAAAUAAAAACACGUGUAAUACCCUCAAAUUUAUUUGGGAUAAAUUUUUAGUUUACAAAUAAGCCGGAUUACAACCAUUUAAUCUGGUAAAAAUUUAAACCCCAUUUAACGUCAGUAUCGGGUAGAUUCCCACCUGGCCACAAACCCAGCCCCUAUAUAAGGGUUGAGUGGGCACUAAAUGGAACUUUUUACCACUCUAGUCACUCACUCUCUCUCUCUCUCUCUACUCUCUCUCUUCAAGACUCGAUUUUUCCAAAAAUCCGCAAGUUUUAGCUCCCAAACUGUAAGUUCUCUUACCCUAGAUUGUUCUAAAACUCAUUACAUAUAUUUAUAGCUUGAAAAUCAUCCAAGAAGGCCAAGAAUAAGGAGUUUACGGCCCAAGAACCCUCUUAGGCCGUAAACCACUAAAAAUGUGCCAAAAAUGCCCCAAAUCCCCUCCUUAGGCUUAGAGACUAGCUUAGAACAUAACCUUGAAGUGUUUUAGACAUUAAACACCAAGUUUGGAGGCUUGAAAGAGGGUUUACGGCCUAAGAACAUUCUUAGGCCUUAAACUCCCUCAAACUAUGCAAAUCAAGCCCUAAACCCCCUAUUUAGCCUUAUACCUUCACCUAGAAACAUGUAGAAGUGAGCUAAGGACCUCAAAAUCGAAGUAUAAGGUAUGUCUAAGGGUUUGCGGCCGCAAACCAUAGAGUUUACGACCGUAAACUCCCAAGGAGUGGUCCUAGGACCGCAAACUCCAAGGGAGUGCCCCUUGUGAACCCUAAACACCCCUCAAGCCUUGGAAUUGAACUUAGAAUCCUUCCUAGUGAUACUAGAGACAUUAAGGCACACGAAUACACUCCUCCCAUGAGUUUACGGCCGUAAAAUCAUGGGGGAAAGGGUCCCUCAACCGUAAACUCACCUAAGGUGGGUAUUUGAGGAGUAAACUCCAUAGUGAGGUCAUAUACUCCUUAGAUACAACCCAAUAGCCUCCUAGCACUUAACCAAAGUGUUUUUCUUCGCUUUAGGAUGCCUAUACGUGUUAAAUUAGUGUUUUAAUCACUAAUUAUAUGUAAAAAUAUGUCUUCAUAUGUUACUAGGGUCGUAGAGUGUGUUCAAGUCUUAACUUGACACCAAACACUCAACCGAGACUUUCAUCCGAUCCACUCGCUACAUGUGAGUUCAUACCCCUUAAUUAACCAUUCUAAUGUUUCUUUUAAAUGUUUUAGGGGGGGGGGGAUACAAGUAGAAUCAUGCUAGUUAUUAUAUCAAUCACAUGUGAUUAAUAAGCAGCAUAUAAAUGAUUUGNAAAAGGAUUUUUCUAUACUUUUAGCUACUUGUCAACAAAACUGUUUUAAAUAAUUAUCAACGAAUUUUCUAUGUUUAAUUGAUAUUAAACUAUUUUCAAACUGUCUUUAAACUACUUUUUUUAAAACUAUAUCUACAACAAUAUAUCUAUAUAAAUAAGACUUGAAGGACUUAGGACCGAUAGCUCGCCUUACUUCCUGUUCUUGUUUGAUUAGGGUCUUAGGGUAUACUGUUAUCCGUCCGACUGUCGUUGAAUUCUUGGUUAUAUAUCAUAUAUAUUUGUGUUAGAUAUGAAAGUCUUCAUUUUUUUCAUUACCUUUGUAAAUCUAAGGCAUGCAAUCCCACACUCUAUUUAACUAUAAUAGGUAUAGUUAAGACUACUGCUCAUUUCCUCUAUCAUUAUGAUACUCACUAUAAUUACUACUAUUACGAGUAAUGCAUGUUAAAGAGAACACUCUAUAUACUAUACUAAAAAGUUCAUUAUACUAUGAUACAAGAGAAUACAAUAAUCCAGAAUGUCACACACUAUCCCUCUAUACGACACUCUACUGUGCAAACACCGUGUAACCAGAGCUUCCCGAAGGGAAAGCAACCACUACAUGUAUAGAUCUAUACAUGACAGACACUAUUACAACCCGNNNNNNNNNNNNNNNNNNNNNNNNNNNNNNNNNNNNNNNNNNNNNNNNNNNNNNNNNNNNNNNNNUCUACUAUCACUAAGAUUGGUUACAUGAGAAAUUACAUUCGUACCCAAAUUAACACACUAAGAAUUAAAGGCUAAACUAACUUCCCGAAGUGAAUAUAUAUACAUAUAUUACUAAAUUGAAGUUUGUAACACUACUAUAUCCAGCCGGCAGUAAAACUGCUAAAAUAAGAUAUUAUCUUUUCUCAUUUACUUUACAUGAAUGAAGUCUAUAAUCUUAUUUUCAUGAUUAACAGUCUCAAUGGGAAAACUUUUACACACUCAAAGGAUCAAACUUACAAAUAUGCACAUCUGGAAAAUAUAGGAUUUUCAAGGGAUUUUACUAUUUUCAAACAUUAAUCACAACUUUACAUUACAAGAUUGUAAACACUUUUAUACAAGCAACGAAACUAAAUUCUUAUGAACUCACCAACUUUAUGCUGAUACUCGUUUUCAAAAUAACUUGUAUUCUCAGGUCGGCAAUAGAUAGGUACAGAUGCAGUUUUUGAGAAGACGGAGCCUAUACAAGACUCGUCUUUAUUUUUUAUUAUACUUUUGGUGUCUAACAAAAUGUACAGAACACGUUUGUAUUACAAUUACUAUAUUAAUGCAAUGGAUGUUGUUGCUUGUUUUUACUAUUAUGCAUUGUUAUGAUACUGUACAUGACAUCCUCCACCCCAGAACGUAUUCCGCCGUUCUCGGUUUUGGGGUGUGACAGAUUGGUAUCAUAGCAUUGUUUAUAGUGAAUCAAGUAUAUCAACCCAUAAAAGAUAUACUAACUAUAAACACUUCGGGACUAAAACACUCUGACCAAGAAUAUAUACUUUUAAAUGCUAAAAUGUUUAAUUAAGUAUAUAAAUACAUUCACCAAUACAAAGGGUCAGCAUCAUACUAGAACAGAACAAAAGUAUUAAGAUUGUUGAACAACACAAUUAGGCUUAGAGACAUAUAGUCACACCUGGGUGCAUGUAGCCUGAUCAACUACAUUUUUCUAGGAGUGACUAGCGUGUGCCUAAGACUGAUUAUGGUGUUGCAACAAGUCUAAAAACUUACCAACACUACCACAAGAACGUUAGAACAAGAAUACUAUAGGAGUACUCUGCAUUCUACUAACCACAUAUGUGAUAACUAAAAGGGUCGUUACUAGUAGGGAAAUACUUGCUAAGUGGAUACACCACGGUUACAUGUGACUAGGGCACUAUAGACUUAGAAUAUGUGACCAUUGCUUCAUUUCCUGUUCUUGUUUGAUUGGGGAUCUGGAGUUAGGGUCGCUUAUUCGAAGAACUAUCUUGCUUCGGUUACAUGUAAUUGGUAUGCACUAUGCAAGUAUUGGGUCGACUAAUAACGACCAUCUUAUAAGUAUCCUAGAUUAGUACGUCUAUUAACCUUUCUUACCCCAUUCUCACGUAGAUAGCAUGGCUGGCUUUCACCUUCCCGGCGAUCCAUAUUAUCCGAACCAAGGCAAUGAAGGAUGGCUCGAAGAGGAGCCAGAAGAUGAUCACCCGAUCCCUUUGGAUGAUCACCAUGCAGAAGGCUUUUCGGAUAACUCCGACUCCGAGCCAGAAGUCAACAACCUGCCCCCAGUAGCUCCAAACCCUAACCCUCGUCCGGCAUUUCAAGGUCCCACUCCCAUGUGGGCAAUAACCUUGAACCGAUGGAGCGAUGAGUAGGGUCAACCUGUACCUUUCAACAGGGACGAAAGCUUCUACAACAUAAGCGAGGGAGGUUCAGCGGACCGAGUCUUGCCCAUCAUGGUCCGAAGGAUUGCCAGGAACGUCAAGCAAGGUCAAGCAACUAUUGGCCGAGUUGUGGAAGUUGAUGCCAACUCUAACCUCGACACUAUUCGCAUCCGCCAACUAGAAGAAGUUAUGGAUAGGACGAGGAGGACCAAUGAGGCUCUGCAGCAACAACUAGCUGCAUCCUAAGCCGAAGUCAGGGAACUCCAGGCGCGUCAAAGAGCACAAGAAAGACAUCUUCAAGAAGUUAUGCGCCAACUGGCUGAUCUUAGGGUUCGCCCAAGGGAUACCCGUCACCAGUAGAAGAUGUCCACUUAUCUCCCUCUUUUGUUUAAGGAAUAGCCUUUUCUUUUCUAUGCUCGGUGGAGCACUUGUCUGUAAACAUUCCUAAUUUUGAAAGUACUCUAAUUAGGCCUCUAGAUUGCCAACAUUUUCCAUUAUGGUUUGAUGUAAGACCUACUGUUAGGUCACUUUUCCCAAACUCAUAUUACAUCAUUAAUACCAGUAAAGUUGGCGGUUAUGUACUCUGUUGCUAUGACUCUCUCUGAUUUAUGGGCUAUGUUGACUUAGUCCAUGAAACACUCUUAUCAUACUUGCAAUAGACUCUUAUUAUUGCUAUCAUUUCUAUGAACUUUCAGUAAAAGAUGCCUCCUCGCAAGCGCCCAAAUAGAGGCAGACCUGCGACUCAAACCCCACCUCCACCUCCUCCUCCGCAGUUCGAUCCAGUGUUGUUUCAAACAACUGUGACCGUAGCCAUGGCCCAAAUGAAUUUGGGCGAUGCUAGUGGAGCCGGAAUGGGCACCAACUCCAAACAUGGUGAAAUCCAUACACGUACACAAGGGUGUACUUAUAAGGAUUUCAUGAACUGUAAACCAACAUUCUUCAAUGGGACCGGAGGAAUCUUUGCUCUGUCCCUAUGGAUCGAAAGGACUGAAGCUGUCUUCGAAAUGUGCUCAUGCCCCGAAGAAAGCAAAAUAAAGUUCAUUGCUGCUACUUUCACUGAAAGGGCCUUGACAUGGUGGAAUGGUCAUGUCAAAUCACACUCCUUGGUAACAGCCAACGCCAUGGGCUGGGACACACUGAAGGACCUAUUGAUGAGGGAGUACUGCCCUAGGGGCGAAGUUCAGAAACUCGAAGAAGAACUCUGUAACCUCAAGAUGAAGGGGACAGACAUAGGGGCUUAUACGGCCAGGUUCUGCGAGUUGGUAACUAUGUGUCCUAACAUGAUCCCCUCUGAAAGCAAGAAAUUGAACGGUACAUCUGGGGUUUAGUGCCCCCGUAUCGAGGAAACGUUCUAUCUUCACAUCUGACAACCUUUGACAGUGCCAAGGAAUUGGCCCAUAGGUUGAUCGAUCAUGAAACUCCAUCCACUCCAUCAACAUCAACAACAACUGCCACUGCACAACCCAAGACAUCCGACAACAAGAGGAAGCAGUGGGACAAAAAGAAGGACAAGAAAGCUCAAUCCUCUUCCAAAAACCAACAGAUAGUGGCUGUCCAUGCUGCCACCACUCUUUCUACCCCUGUACCAACAAAAACCUAUGUUGGAAACCUGCCCAAGUGCCCCUUCCAUCACAACGGCCCCUGCCAUGAAUUGCACUGCACCAACUGCGACCAGAAGGGCCAUACCGUCCGGUUUUGCAGAUCCCAACCCAAACCUAUCUCUCAAGUCCCCAGCUCGGGAGUGAGCCAAGCCUGCUAUGGCUGUGGUGAGGUAGGUCAUUUCAAGAAAAACUGUCCGAAGACCGGGAAUACAGGAGGAACGGGAAGACUACUUGCUAUUGGCCACAAUGAAGCAGUAGCGGACCCCACAGUAGUCACGGGUACGUUCCUUCUCAACAACUCUUAUGCUUGUGUCUUAUUCGAUAGUGGUGCAGAAAGAAGCUUCAUAAACCAAAACUUUAAACACUUACUUAAGCAAUCCCCUCAACCACUAAAAGAAACAUUCGUCAUAGAAAUGGCUAACGGAAAGAUAGAGAGCUCUAAUGAAAUUUACAUAGGUUGUACCCUCACGCUGGAUGAUCAUUCAUUUCCAAUCGACCUCAUACCAGCUCGAUCAAGAGUCUCGAUGUCAUUGUGGGCAUGGACUAGUUGAGUCUCCAUCGUGCUGAUAUCCUAUGAUUCGACAAAGCCAUCCAUCUAAAUCUACCGAAUAGCGAAACACUGUUAAUCUAUGGAGACAAACCCAGUACGAGCCUUCGUAUCAUCUCAAGUAUUCAAGCUCAAAAGUACUUACGUAAGGAAUAUCGCGAAUUCCUUGCACACGUCGUUGACACGAGCCAGAAACCGAAAGAUCUAAAGUACUUCCCUGUCGUAUGCGAUUUCCCCGACGUCUUUCCAGAGGAACUCCCAGGUUUACCUCCCAAACGUCAAGUUAAGUUCAGAAUCGAUAUAAUUCCAGGGGCUACCCCUGUAGCUAAAUCGCCCUAUUGUCUAGCGCCUGCUGAAAUGCAAGAACUGUCUAGUCAACUUAAUGAGCUGCUCAGCAAGGGCUUUAUAAGACCAAGCUCCUCACCAUGGGGAGCACCGGUCUUGUUCCUAAAGAAGAAGGACAUAUCAUUCCGUAUGUGCAUCGAUUAUAGAGAACUCAACAAGCUGACGGUCAAGAAUUGCUACCCUCUUCCACGUAUGGACAACCUAUUCGACCAACUGCAAGGGGCGAGUUACAUUUCCAAGAUUGAUCUUAGGUCCGGGUAUCACCAGUUACGAGUGCUUGAGGAGGAUGUUCCGAAAACAGCCUUCCGAACUCGUUACAGACACUACGAGUUCGUAGUAAUGCCGUUCGGACUGACCAACGCGCCCUCAAUAUUCAUGGAUUUAAUGAAUAGGGUGUGUCGUCCUUACUUGGAUCAGUUCGUCAUCGUCUUCAUUGAUGACAUACUCAUCUACUCUCGAAGUAAGGAGGAGCAUAGCCAUCACCUACGACAAAUCCUAGAAACCCUACGAUCAGAAAAGCUAUAUGCGAAAUUCUCGAAGUGCGAAUUAUGGAUCCGAAGAGUCGAAUUCUUAGGACACGUGGUUAGCGAGGAAGGAAUUCACGUGGACCCAUCCAAGAUUAAAGCUAUCAAGAACUGGUUAGAACCGAAGACGCCUACAGAAAUUCGUCAAUUUUUAGGCGUCGCUGGCUACUACCGCGGAUUCAUUCAGAACUUCUCUCGGAUUGCGAAACCUCUCACCACAUUGACUCGGAAAGGCGUGACAUUUGACUGGGGAGAGAAAUAGGAGAAGGCAUUCCAAACCCUGAAGUGAGCCCUAUGCACCGCACCGAUAUUAUCCCUUCCUGAAGGGAUAGAAGAUUUCGUAGUAUACUGCAAUGCAUCAAACCAAGGGCUUGGUUGUGUUCUGAUGCAACGAGGUAAGGUCAUUGCUUACGCCUCAAGACAGCUGAAGACACAUGAGGUCAACUACACCACGCACGACCUCGAAUUAGGAGCGGUUGUGUUCGCCCUAAAGAUUUGGAGACAUUAUAUGUACGGUACGGAGAGCACGAUAUACACCGACCACAAAAGUCUACAACACAUAUUCAACCAGAAGGAGUUCAACAUGAGACAACGACGGUGGGUCGAGCUACUCAAUGAUUACGAAUGCGAAAUUCGCUAUCAUCCGGGUAAAGACAAUGUGGUAGCGGACGCCCUAAGCAGGAAAUAACAUUUUGGUCGAAGAGUCAAGUCGUUAACGAUGACUAUCCACUCGUAUCUUUCAUCACAGAUUAAGGAAGCUCAACUUGAAGCUUUGAAGCCUGAAUAUGUGACAGGAGAAUCCCUACGAGGAAUGGAUAAGAACUUGGAGGUCAAGGGUGACGGAGCCUUAUAUCUCAUGGACCGAAUCUGGACACCGCGACACGGUGGCUUCAGAGACUUAGUCAUGAAGGAAGCACACAACACCCGAUAUUCCGUUCACCCAGGUUCAGAUAAGAUGUAUCUGGACCUCAAGAAGUCAUAUCGGUGGCCUAACAUGAAAGCGGAGAUUGCUACCUUCGUGAGUAAAUGCCUUACUUGCGCAAAGGUUAAGGUCGAAUACCAAAAGCCAUCAGGUCUUCUACAACAACCGGAGGUACCAGAGUGGAAGUGGGAGCGGAUCACUAUGGAUUUCAUAACUAAGCUACCCAAGACAACGAGUGGGCUGGACACCAUAUGGGUCAUCGUCGACAGAUUGACCAAGUCCGCGAACUUCCUACCCAUCAAAGAAUCAGACAAGAUGGAGAAACUCACAAGGACAUACAUUAAGGAGAUCGUACGACUGCAUGGUGUCCCUAUAUCUAUAAUCUCCGAUAGAGACAGCAGAUUCACUUCGAGAUUUUGGCAAUCACUACAAAACGCCUUAGGGACGAGGCUAGACAUGAGUACAGCCUACCAUCCGUAGACCGACAGACAAAGUGAGAGGACUAUCCAAACCCUAGAGGAUAUGUUGCGAGCUUGUGUGAUCGACUUUGGUAAGGCAUGGGAUACCCACUUACCCCUUUUCGAGUUUUCCUACAAAAAUAGCUAUCACACGAGCAUCAAAGCAACUCCAUUCGAAGCCCUCUACGGCCGAAAGUGCAGAUCCCCUCUGUGUUGGGCUGAGGUGGGUGACACUCAGUUAGAUAAAGGACAAGUUCAUGACAGCGCUCUCACGGGUCCGGAAAUCAUUCGAGAAACGACCGAGAAGAUCGUACAGAUUCGUGAACGAUUAAAAGCCGCUAGAGAUCGACAGAAAAGCUACGUAGACAAACGAAGAAAACCUUUGGAAUUCCAGGUAGGAGACCGAGUCCUUUUGAAAGUCUCACCCUAGAAGGGCACGAUACGCUUUGGAAAGCGUGGGAAGCUAAAUCCAAGGUACAUAGGGCCUUUCGACAUUCUUGCCAGAAUCGACCCCGUAGCUUACAAACUCAACCUACCUCGCGAGCUCAGUAACAUACAUCCUACCUUCCAUGUCUCAAACCUGAAAAAGUGCCUAUCCGACGAGACUCUCGUAAUCCCACUCGACGAGAUCGAGGUCAACGAGAGCCUCAACUUCGUGGAAGAGGCUAUGGAGAUCAUGGACCAAGUAGUCAAACGAACGAAACUAAGCCGCAUCCCAAUUGUGAAGGUUCGCUGGAAUGCCAAACGAGGACCGGAGUUCACUUGGGAGCGCGAGGAUCAAAUGAAACUCAAGUAUCACCAUCUCUUUGCUUAGUUGUAUUGUAAUAACUUAGGUACUUAAAUACUAAAUUUCGGGACGAAAUUCCCUCUCACGGGGGGAUGAUGUGACAACUCGAAAAUUAUUCCGUUGCGGUAUCCCAUUUCCGUUAAUAGAAUACUUUAUUUUAUUAUUAUUAUUAAGAUUUCCGUUAACAUUUGGGUUAGACAAAUCAACUAAUGAUUUAUUUUAUUUUAGUGUCGAAAUGAAAUAAAUAAAAACACGUGUAAUACCCUCAAAUUUAUUUGGGAUAAAUUUUUAGUUUACAAAUAAGCCGAAUUACAACCAUUUAAUCGGGUAAAAAUUUAAACCCCGUUUAAUGUCAGUAUCGGGUAGAUUCCCACCUGGCCACAAACCCAACCCCUAUAUAAGGGUUGAGUAGGAACUAAAUGGAACUUUUUACCACUCUAGUCACUCUCUCUUCAAUACUCGAUUCUUCCAAAAAUCUGCAAGUUUUAGCUCCCAAACUGUAAGUUCUCUUACCCUAGAUUGUUCUAAAACUCAUUACAUAUCUUUAUAGCUUGAAAAUCAUCCAAGAAGGUCAAAAAUAUGGAGUUUACGGCCCAAGAACCCUCUUAGGCCGUAAACCCCUAAAAAUGUGCCAAAAAUGCCCCAAAUCCCCUCCUUAGGCUUAGAGGCUAGCUUAGAACUUAACCUUGAAGUGUUUUAGACAUUAAACACCAAGUUUGGAGGCUUGAAAGAGGGUUUACGGCCUAAGAACAUUCUUAGGCCGUAAACUCCCACAAACUAUGCAAAUCAAGCCCUAAACCCCCUAUUUAGCCUUAUACCUUCACCUAGAAACAUGUAGAAGUGAGCUAAGGACCUCAAAAUCGAAGUAUAAGGUGUGUCUAAGGGUUUACGGCUGUAAACCAUAGAGUUUACGACCGUAAACUCCCAAGGAGUGGUCCUAGGACCGCAAACUCCAAGGGAGUGCCCCUUUUGAACCCUAAACACCCCUCAAGCCUUGGAAUUUAACUUAGAAUCCUUCCUAGUGAUACUAGAGAACUUAAGGCACACGAAUACACUCCUCCCAUGAGUUUACGGCCGUAAACUCAUGGGGGAAAGGGUCCCUCAACCGUAAACUCACCUAGGGUGAGUAUUUUAGGAGUAAACUCCAUAGUGAGGUCAUAUACUCCUUAGAUACAACCCAAUAGCCUCCUAGCACUUAACCAAAGCGUUUUUCUUCUCUUUAGGAUGCCUAUACGUGUUAAAUUAGUGUUUUAAUCACUAAUUAUAUGUAAACAUAUGUUUUCAUAUGUUACUAGGGUCGUAGAGUGUGUUCAAGUCUUAACAUGACACCAAACACUCAACCGAGACUUUCAUCCGAUCCACUCGCUACAUGUGAGUUCAUACCCCUUAAUUAACCAUUCUAAUGUUUCUUUUAAAUGUUUUAGGGGGGGGGGGGNAAUACAACAAGUUAUAGUAUCAAAUCAUAUGUGAUUUAUAACUUUAAAUCAAAAAGGAUUUUUCUAUACUUUUAGCUACUUGUCAACAAAACUGUUUUAAAUAAUUAUCAAUGCAUUUUCUAUGUUUAAUUGAUGUUAAACUAUUUUCAAACUGUCUUUAAACUACUUUUCUUUUAAACUAUAUCUACACCAAUAUAUUUAUAUAAAUAAGACUUGAAGGACUUAGGACUGAUAGCUUGCCUUACUUCAUGUUCUUGUUUGAUUGGGGUCUUAAGGUAUACUGUUAUCCAUCCGACUGUCGUUGAAUUCUUAGUUAUAUAUCAUAUAUAUUUGUGUUAGAUAUGAAAGUCUUCAUUUUGUUCAUUACCUUUGUAAAUCAAAGGCAUGCAAUCCCACACUCUAUUUAACUAUAAUAGGUACAGUUAAGACUACUGCUCAUUUCCUCUAUCAUUAUGAUACUCACUAUAAUUACUACUAUUACGAGUAAUCAUGUUAAAGAGAACACUCUAUAUACUAUACUAAAAAGUUCAGUAUACUAUGAUACAAGAGAAUACAAUAAUCCAAAAUGUGACACACUAUCCCUCUAUACGGCACUCUACUGUGCAAACACCGUGUAACCAGAGCUUCCGGAAGGGAAAGCAACCACUACAUGUAUAGAUCUAUACAGGAAAGACACUAUUACAUCCCGACUGCUAACUACAGUCCAAGCCGACUAGGCCUAGGGGUGACGAAACUUCACUACACUACGUAUGACGGGGAAGGUCAUCGGAUAUUCUACUAUCACUAAGAUUGGUUACAUGAGAAAUUACAUUCGUACCCAAAUUAACACACUAAGAAUUGAAGGCUAAACUAACUUCCCGAAGUGAAUAUACAUACAUAUAUUACUAAAUUGAAGUUUGUAACACUACUAUAUCCAGCCGGCAGUAAAACUGCUAAAAUAAGAUAUUAUCUUUUCUCAUUUACUUUACAUGAAUGAAGUCUAUAAUCUUAUUUUCAUGAUUAACAGUCUCAAUGGGAAAACUUUUACACACUCAAAGGAUCA